Molecule: ribosomal RNA, 430 nt
Filed under: uncultured bacterium
Lineage: Bacteria
Description: bacterial SSU rRNA
Rfam family: Bacterial small subunit ribosomal RNA
Source: RNAcentral
UGGGGAAUAUUGGACAAUGGGGGGAACCCUGAUCCAGCCAUGCCGCGUGUGUGAAGAAGGUCUUCGGAUUGUAAAGCACUUUAAGUUGGGAGGAAGGGCUAUCGGCUAAUACCCGUUUAGUUUUGACGUUACCAACAGAAUAAGCACCGGCUAACUUCGUGCCAGCAGCCGCGGUAAUACGAAGGGUGCAAGCGUUAAUCGGAAUUACUGGGCGUAAAGCGCGCGUAGGUGGUUUGUUAAGUUGGAAGUGAAAGCCCCGGGCUCAACCUGGGAAUUGCUUUCAAAACUAGCAAGCUAGAGUACAGUAGAGGGUAGUGGAAUUUCCUGUGUAGCGGUGAAAUGCGUAGAUAUAGGAAGGAACAUCAGUGGCGAAGGCGACUACCUGGACUGAUACUGACACUGAGGUGCGAAAGCGUGGGGAGCAAACAGG